UACGUAGGGUGCAGGCGUUAAUCGGAAUUACUGGGCGUAAAGCGUGCGCAGGCGGCUUGCUAAGACAGGUGUGAAAGCCCCGAGCUUAACUUGGGAAUGGCGCUUGUGACUGGCAGGCUGGAGUGUGGCAGAGGGGGGUGGAGUUCCAGGUGUAGCAGUGAAAUGCGUAGAGAUCUGGAGGAACACCGAUGGCGAAGGCAGCCCCCUGGGCUAACACUGACGCUCAUGCACGAAAGCGUGGGGAGCAAACAGG
Molecule: ribosomal RNA, 253 nt
Filed under: uncultured bacterium
Lineage: Bacteria
Description: partial 16S ribosomal RNA
Rfam family: Bacterial small subunit ribosomal RNA
Source: RNAcentral